GGGAAGCACAUCUUCCCUCAGUCAAAUCUUAACAUGACUGCAGACUUGUGAGUAACCACGGGCCGGAGGACCCAGAUAAGCUGAACCAGGGUGCCUGACCCACGGAAACUGUGAGGCGGCCUCCUCAAAGGACGACAAGCUUCCACGAUAUUAAUCCAAAGUUGAUUGAGGGCCCACCAUGUAUUAGGCAUUGCCAUAGAAUUCCUGAAGAUCUGAACACAGUGACCACUUGGCAGAAACUUCUAGGUGCAGAAACGUCGGAAGAGAAUUUCCCAAUUGUGUCCUGAGUGGUACUGUUGCUGCAAGAUCUCCUUGCCCAACACACAGCCCAUAAUGAUGCAUCCAAGGCUAGAAGACAUUUUGUAAGACAGAAAUCUUUGCAACUUUAUGCACUUUUCAAGCUUAUCUGAGCAAAAAAAUCUCCCCCCCCCGCAUGUAAUCAUUAAUUUGUAACUUAAAUAUGUAAAAAAAAUCACUAUUAAUUUCAGCAAAAAUCUCUAUAGUUAUUUAUUAAUAAACCACAUAAAGAAAUUGUGUAUUGCUUUGCUUAAUAAAUUGAGAAGAAACUUGAGCUCACUCUGGC
This 583-nucleotide long non-coding RNA is filed under the name Equus asinus (donkey). Its description in RNAcentral is "lncRNA (ENSEASG00005032971.1)". The record is from RNAcentral. Lineage: Eukaryota; Metazoa; Chordata; Mammalia; Perissodactyla; Equidae.